Molecule: long non-coding RNA, 389 nt
Organism: Juglans microcarpa x Juglans regia
Lineage: Eukaryota; Viridiplantae; Streptophyta; Magnoliopsida; Fagales; Juglandaceae
Exons: 2
Source: RefSeq, a predicted model, not a curated record
CACACAGAACUGGUUAAAUUCAACGCCUAUUGAAGUAGAUAUCGUUGAUGCCGAGAGCUAUAGGCUUGAAUCAGACCUAGCUGUGAAUCUCAGACUAAUUAUGGAUGACUGAGACAGACGCACUGUGGGAUGACCCCUUUAUUGGUGAGAAACUCAAUACCAUGAUUACCAUCAUGCAAAACUUGUUAGAGUUAAAGGUGAAGGUGAGUUCAUACUGUGUCCUAUUUUAUAUCAUAUAUCACUUGGCUAGUAGUUUAGAAGUCUAUAGUUAAAUGACUAAAGAAAAGAUAGUGCAUUUGAUCAAUAAAACCCUUUGCAGGAAAAUUGGAAAUCACUAUCGAGUCAUUGACUCAAAUGCAUGGAUUGUCAAAACUAAUGUGGGAGAUUGU